RNAcentral lists this transfer RNA (85 nucleotides) under Nannocystis sp. RNAcentral's name for it is "tRNA-Leu". It matches the Rfam family "tRNA". From Rfam's summary of the family: Transfer RNA (tRNA) molecules are approximately 80 nucleotides in length. The record is from RNAcentral. Lineage: Bacteria; Pseudomonadati; Myxococcota; Nannocystales; Nannocystaceae.
GCCAGAGUGGCGAAAUCGGUAGACGCGGCGGACUCAAAAUCCGUUAAGGCAAAACCUUGUGUCGGUUCGAGUCCGACCUCUGGCA